Molecule: non-coding RNA, 1102 nt
Organism: Paralichthys olivaceus (Japanese flounder)
Lineage: Eukaryota; Metazoa; Chordata; Actinopteri; Pleuronectiformes; Paralichthyidae
Source: RefSeq, a predicted model, not a curated record
UGCCAAUUUACAUCUGUUGUCCCUAUAUUUAAAAAAAAGGCAACCUGAGAUAUAAUAGAAUGGUCUGAUUUAUAAAAAUACAAAUAUCAACGCUCAAACCAUUCGAUGAUUAAAAAUCAAGCUGUACAAUAUAACACAAAGCCACAGAUACAUAAUUAAACUAAAUCACAAUGUAUGUAUGUAAAUACAGGUAGAGAAUAAACUACACUUUAACUUUAGUUGAGAAUCUGAAUGAACAAAUAAUAAAAUAAGAGCAGGGAUGAACUCCAAGGUCCACAACCCCCUGCGGCCAAUCACAGGGCGAGUUGUACAGGAAGUAGUAAACCAUGUGACAAGUGGUAAACUAUAUGACAAGUAUUAAUUUGUCUAAAUUGGUAAGAGAAUAAAUUAAAUCCAUAACUUAAGAGAAUAAACUGUUGCUGUUAAUAUAAGUAUAUUAAUUAUUUCGUAUUUUAUUCAUUUUGAAUCAAUCAUCACUUUAACUGGAGCUGAUCUGAAACGAACAAAUAAUAAAAUGAGAUGAACUCCAAGGCCCACAAUCCCCUGCGGCCAAUCACAGGGCGAGUUGUACAGGAAGUAGUAAACAAGCCUGUUUUGACGGACAGCAGGUUUUGACGAAUAGAAGAGCUGGAAUGGCCGCGGCGGGCCAAUCACAGGCGAGGUGGGCGGGCCUCGUGUCCACCAGGGCCUCGGAGGAGGAGGAGGAGUUCCUGGCGGCCAUCUUGGAUGUGCGGACUGAUUGUUUAGCGAGAAGAAUUGUGAACAUUUUAGAAAACAAGCCAUUUUACUGAAUCCCUGAAGCUUUGAGGGAGUGGAGGCGACCGAGGACAGAGACCGUCACACGGAACAGUCCGGUGAAAGAAGGCAUGAAGACAUCAUCCUAGUUUUCAGUCAUGGCCGAUAAAAGGAAACUUCAAGGUGAAAUAGAUCGAUGUCUGAAAAAAGUAGCGGAGGGAGUAGAACAGUUUGAAGACAUCUGGCAAAAGGUGAGGAGGGACUGUGACAAGGUUUGUGCAAACUUUUAUUUUUUUAUCUAUCGAUUCACUCUCUCAAUCAUUCCGUCUGUUUUGUCUGUUCAACAUCAGAAAAAAAUGAAAUGCCC